Molecule: long non-coding RNA, 432 nt
Organism: Anoplopoma fimbria (sablefish)
Lineage: Eukaryota; Metazoa; Chordata; Actinopteri; Perciformes; Anoplopomatidae
Exons: 4
Source: RefSeq, a predicted model, not a curated record
CGUCCUCCGUCUGGAAUGAACUCCGACUGAAGAGAAGAAGAAGAAGAAGAAGAAGAAGAAGAAGAAGAAGAAGAAGAAGAAGAAGAAGAAGAAGAAGAAGAAGAAGAAGAAGAAGAAGAAGAGCAGCAGCAUCAGAAGGUCAGAGGUCACCGACGUCCCACUGUGACUGACAGCUGUCAAUCAUCGGAUCUGAACCAACCAGGAGACAGGAAACUACCUUCAACAUGGAGAAGUGACGGACAGGAUCGGCGGACAUGAAGGCUCCAACCAGAGGGUGGACAGGAAAUCUGAAUGUGCUGCACUUCCUGUUAGCUGUGUUCCUGGUUCUUCAUGAAGGGGGGGUCUGUCUGGAGCUGCAGCCUUCAACCUCUGAAGUUCUGCUCAACUCAAACUCCAACUUCACUGUGGUCAGUAAAUACCUGUCUAUCUAUA